UGCCAACUCACAAUGUAUUUCAAAGUGAU
RNAcentral lists this non-coding RNA (29 nucleotides) under Mus musculus (house mouse). Lineage: Eukaryota; Metazoa; Chordata; Mammalia; Rodentia; Muridae. The record is from RNAcentral.